AAAUAUGCUGAGACUCGGACUUCAAAAUGGAUAAUUGAACUAUCUCGAUUGGAUAAAUCCGAUAAUCUACUCGUAUUAAUGUAAGAAUCUAUAUGUAUACGUUCACAGAGUAAAUUAAAAAAAAACUGUUAAGAGAAAAAGUUAAUCGUCGCUUGUUAAGUUUCUAAUCAAUCUCAGAGUAGAUGCGUAAUUUUGAACUAUGAUAUAGAUUAUAUGUUUUUAAUAUUACAUUAUAAAAUGUGUUUAUGUUUUAUUCUAGAAAGACAGACAAAUUAUAUUUUGUUUUUAAUUGCAAGUCAUUGUACACGUUUGUGUUUAUGAAGGCUGUCUUAUUAAGAUCAUUAGGGAAAUUAAUACGACAUAAACAUUGUGUUAUUGAAAAAGUUAUAUGUAUACUGCCAAAAAAGAGGUAAAAGGAACCAGAGGGAUAUUAUUAGUCUACAAAAAAGGAAGAAGAAAAAAGUUGGGGCUAAAAACGAUAAACAGACUACAUAGACUACAAUGUAACAGACAAUAAUAAGUAAGAAAUAAAUAUAGAGAAGAGGACGAAAGAUACCAGAGGGACAGUUACACUCACAGAUCGAAAACAACCCGACAACGCCAUGGCUAAAAAAGAAAAAAGACGAACAGACAUAUAAUAGAACAAAAUACACAUAAUACACAACAUAUACAACUAAAGACUGACCAAC
RNAcentral lists this long non-coding RNA (689 nucleotides) under Mytilus galloprovincialis (Mediterranean mussel). The record is from RNAcentral. Lineage: Eukaryota; Metazoa; Mollusca; Bivalvia; Mytilida; Mytilidae.